This 465-nucleotide ribosomal RNA is filed under the name uncultured bacterium. RNAcentral describes it as "partial 16S ribosomal RNA". It matches the Rfam family "Bacterial small subunit ribosomal RNA", at positions 29 to 507 of the family's 1533-position model. The record is from RNAcentral.
AUGAACGCUGGCGGCGUGCUUAACACAUGCAAGUCGAACGAUGAAGCCCAGCUUGCUGGGUGGAUUAGUGGCGAACGGGUGAGUAACACGUGAGUAACCUGCCCUUAACUCUGGGAUAAGCCUGGGAAACUGGGUCUAAUACCGGAUAGGAGCGUCCACCGCAUGGUGGGUGUUGGAAAGAUUUAUCGGUUUUGGAUGGACUCGCGGCCUAUCAGCUUGUUGGUGAGGUAAUGGCUCACCAAGGCGACGACGGGUAGCCGGCCUGAGAGGGUGACCGGCCACACUGGGACUGAGACACGGCCCAGACUCCUACGGGAGGCAGCAGUGGGGAAUAUUGCACAAUGGGCGCAAGCCUGAUGCAGCGACGCCGCGUGAGGGAUGACGGCCUUCGGGUUGUAAACCUCUGUCAGUAGGGAAGAAGCGAAAGUGACGGUACCUGCAGAAGAAGCACCGGCUAACUACGUG